This 504-nucleotide ribosomal RNA is filed under the name uncultured bacterium. RNAcentral's name for it is "partial 16S ribosomal RNA". It matches the Rfam family "Bacterial small subunit ribosomal RNA", at positions 30 to 523 of the family's 1533-position model. The record is from RNAcentral.
AUUGAACGCUGGCGGCAUGCCUUACACAUGCAAGUCGAACGGCAGCAUGGAGAGCUUGCUCUCUGAUGGCGAGUGGCGAACGGGUGAGUAAAGCAUCGGAACGUACCGUGUAGUGGGGGAUAACGUAGCGAAAGUUACGCUAAUACCGCAUACGCACUGAGGUGGAAAGCAGGGGAUCGCAAGACCUUGCGCUAUACGAGCGGCCGAUGUCAGAUUAGCUAGUUGGUAGGGUAAAGGCCUACCAAGGCGACGAUCUGUAGCGGGUCUGAGAGGAUGAUCCGCCACACUGGAACUGAGACACGGUCCAGACUCCUACGGGAGGCAGCAGUGGGGAAUAUUGGACAAUGGGCGCAAGCCUGAUCCAGCCAUACCGCGUGGGUGAAGAAGGCCUUCGGGUUGUAAAGCCCUUUUGUUGGGAAAGAAAUCCAGCUGGCUAAUACCCGGUUGGGAUGACGGUACCCAAAGAAUAAGCACCGGCUAACUUCGUGCCAGCCGCCGCGGUAA